UUCACUGUGAUCAAGAAGAAGCUCGUUAAAAAGAUGGGACAAAACAAACUCAUCAUUAACUGGACUGUAUGAAAGAUGAUAACAAUAGUUACACAACUCAGAUGCAUGUAUAGCCCCAAGUUACACUAUUCAGUUGCCUCGGUAAAUCAUAGUUACACAUUAAGUUGGAUGACACUGUAAAAGAACCCAAUCAACUGUUGAUAUCAGAGAAAGAUAUCCCUCAGGAAACCUUGGAGAAAGGGAAUACAAAAUCCUGAAUAUAUUGGAGUUUGAUAACAAAAGAAAGCUAAUUGUGCAAGAUGAGGAUAUGAAAAUUCUUCUUUUGUGAAAAGGUGAAGGCAGCUGUUGUGAGGAAGGAGAUUGGAGAUGAGACUGAUUGAGAGACAUGACGUGGCAAUGGAAUUUCUAGUUUUUCUAUUCAUCUUAGUAUUUACUCUCCGAAUGUUGUGAAUUUGACCCUGAUGGAUCUUCCUGGAUUGACGAAAGUUGCCAUUGAUGGUCAAUCUGAUAGCAUCGUUGCGGACAUUGAGAACAUGGUUCGCUUAUUAUUUAUUGAAAAGAUACACAAGCAUUUUGGAAUGGAGGAAGAUAAGAAGGGAAGAGAACAUUUUUAUUUUAUUAGAAGAUCUCGUUGCUUAUUUCUUGGAUUUCGUUAUACAUAUUUCGUGUUUUAGCUCGUUUAUUGUGUUCCAAAACAAUUGAUAAACAAAGAAUUUUUUGUAAAUGAAAUUAUUGUUUUGAUAACAACUGAAUACAGAUGUGUAACUUAUGGAUAAUUUUGCUUCUAUAGAUUUUUUUUCAUCCAACCUAACUCGUGUAUAUUUAUUUUGUUGCAGAUACACAAGCAUUUUGGAAUGGAGGAAGAUAAGAAGGGAAGAGAACAUUUUUAUUUUAUUAGAAGAUCUCGUUGCUUAUUUCUUGGAUUUCGUUAUACAUAUUUCGUGUUUUAGCUCGUUUAUUGUGUUCCAAAACAAUUGAUAAACAAAGAAUUUUUUGUAAAUGAAAUUAUUGUUUUGAUAACAACUGAAUACAGAUGUGUAACUUAUGGAUAAUUUUGCUUCUAUAGAUUUUUUUUCAUCCAACCUAACUCGUGUAUAUUUAUUUUGUUGCAGAUACACAAGCAUUUUGGAAUGGAGGAAGAUAAGAAGGGAAGAGAACAUUUUUAUUUUAUUAGAAGAUCUCGUUGCUUAUUUCUUGGAUUUCGUUAUACGUAUUUCGUGUUUUAGCUCGUUUAUUGUGUUCCAAAACAAUUGAUAAACAAAGAAUUUUUUGUAAAUGAAAUUAUUGUUUUGA
Papaver somniferum (opium poppy) is the source of this 1293-nucleotide long non-coding RNA. RefSeq lists it as uncharacterized. The record is from RefSeq and is a predicted model, not a curated record. The transcript is spliced from 7 exons. NCBI's taxonomy places the organism in Eukaryota, Viridiplantae, Streptophyta, Magnoliopsida, Ranunculales, Papaveraceae.